This is a long non-coding RNA of Bactrocera neohumeralis, 2704 nucleotides long. RefSeq lists it as uncharacterized. The transcript has 2 exons. NCBI's taxonomy places the organism in Eukaryota, Metazoa, Arthropoda, Insecta, Diptera, Tephritidae. The record is from RefSeq and is a predicted model, not a curated record.
ACAGAGUUCAAAUUGACAAAGAUUGCUGCUACGCUGGCUAGGUCAUGUCGUGCGAAUGAACGAAAACAUUCUAGCUCUCAAAGUUUUCGAGGCAUAAAGGCCCGCCGGGGGAAGCAGAGGAAGACCAGGUGGAGAAGAACUUGGUUUCGUUUGGAAUCUCCAAUUGGCGACAAGUAACGAAAUGGAAGAACAAUUAGCGCGCUAUUGUAAACUUAGCUAUAACCGCGUAAGCGGUGUCUACGCCAAUAAAGAAGAAGAAGAACGCUGUACUUUUGCCAGAAUUACAAAAAAUUUCACAUCGAUUGAGAUACUAUCUAAAAAACCAUAUUUAGAACAUAUUUUAGCUUGAAAAUUUCUAUGGAAAUGUUAACAGAACUGCCAAGCCGCCAAUUAAACAGUUUUUCGGCAGUACAAGAAUGUUCGAAAGUAAACAGGACUUUUUGAAUCUAGCGCCCCCUGGUGGGGCCAUCUGUAUGUCGCCAGAUGAGUUAGAAUCUGCUAAUUUAUCGAUCUUCCAGUAGGAAUUUCAUGGCAUUUCAUAGAUUGGAAGUGAAGUUAUUGGGUUCUAAGUGUCAGUAUGUUUGCGUUAUCGGUGCGAAAAUGCGCUUCGAACAAAGAGCCAACAUUAAAUUUUGUUUUAAAAUUAGUAAAACUCUUACCAACACGUUUCAAUUGAUGAAGCAAGCUUAUGGCGAUGAUUGGCUAUCCGGUAGCAUAGUGCACGAGUGGUUUCAACGUUUUCAAAGUGGUCGUGAGGACAUAAAUGACGAUCAACAUGUGGGUCAAUCAAAAUCCGUGAUCACCGGAAAUUCCAUCGAAACUGUGUGUGAAUUCAUCAAAAAUCAGCCGAAAUCAUCUUUGAAAUUCAUGGAAAUGGAAUUGAACCUCUCCAAAACAUCGAUUUAUCGCAUUUUUACGGAACAUUUGGGCUAACGAAAGGUGUGUGCACGGUUUAUUCCGCACAAAUUGACUGACGACCAAAAAAUUGUUCAGAAUCCGUCUCAUCGAUUGACGCUUCUGACCGAUUAUUUGACCAAAAAUCACAUUUUUACCAUUAAUCACUCCCUGUAUUCACAUGAUAUGGCACCGUGCGACUUCUUGCUUGAAAGGAAAACGUUAUGUAGACGUUGAGGCCAUUCAAAAGGUUUCACCGGCAUACUGGCGGCCAUACCGGCCAACGAUCUAAAACACUCGUUAGACAUGCUUUUGGACCAUGCAAAAAGCUGUAUUGAAGCAGAAGGAGACUAUUUUGAAUAAAAUAAAUUGAUUUUGCCGAAAAAACCAUUUGUUCUGUUUUUGAAGUUAUACACACUUCUUAAACUAUGUUCGGACCGACAACGAAAACAUGUUUUCGUGGGAAAAACUGGUUUUCGCACGAAAACUUGUGUUUUCGUCCAUGUAAAAUCUGUGAAACGAAAACACAGUUUUCGCUGAAAACUACUUGAAAACUUACAUUUCACUCAUUAUAAUCGGUGCCUGCUCUAGUUUAGUCGAUGUUUUUGGAAGACAUAUUUUGCCGGCUCUAAAUUGUCAGUUGAUAUUUGUUUACAUUCCAUUUACAAAAACAGCUGUCGCUUGAUAUUCUCAUAUUAGGGGGAUUCUCUUGCUCUUGCAAAACCUUGCACGGUGCAGAAAUUGCAGAAUUUUCCUCUUGGUGCAACGGCACAACAACAAACACACGCAGAAAAUUAUUUGUAAUGGCUAUAAAUACGUCAGACCAAGACCCACGUUUAUUUUUGUGCCGUCAUAUAUCACUAGAUUCUGCAAUGGGCGCUCGCUUUUCCUUACAUAUUCCGGUAUAGGAGUUUUGCAUUUUGUGUCAUCGUGCAAUCUUGCAAGAGCAAGAGAAUGCCGCUAUUGAUAGUUGUAAGUGAAAACUCAUCGAAAACACACAUUGUCGGUCCGAACGACUUAGAUUCCACAACAUACAAAUGUGUUUUCAAAAUGUUCUCAAUGUCGGUCCGAACAUAGUGUUAUGCGAGGUCGGAAAAGGUUGCGUUAAAUGAUUAACGCUUCUAUAUUUACGCUAGCUUAUCGUCGAAGAUGUUCGAGCAGCAAAGAAAGCGGUGACAAUCGGCGAACGUUUGUUAGUUUCUUUCGGCACAGCUCGGAUUUUCUACCAGCAACACAAUGUUGUAACGCUUUGUUGUCGUGUCAGUGCUUCGACACAUUGACUCUUUCACAAAGCGAGGAAUCAUCAAAAGCCGAAGUGCGGAACUUUAAUCCGCUAAACUGAACCUACUCCCAGCUCCAGACUCUCCCACGGAACCACCUGAUUAGGUAUUACUUCGUGGGAGUGAUAAGAUAAUUAAGUCUCCUCUAUGGCACGGACUGACGGACGCCUAUUCUGCUCUAUAUGUCUAAGUUUUGUCAUGAUUGACGCUGCCGCUUCGCUGACAGCAUUCCAGUUCUCAGUGGACUGGCACAACCGUCCGCCACGUUACGCUUCAACACCCUACAUUUCGCACUACCAACAAUGGUAACCCAUCGCCAACUAUUCAACAUCGAGUACGAAUUUCUUCGUCGACAAUGGCACGGAUUUCGGCAACUCCGCUUUCUCGUAAACUCAAAAUAGUAACUUCUUUUCGACUGCAAGCUGUAAACGGUAGCAAAGUCGGAACCUACGGAGAUGAGGCCCUUAACUCAGUCUCGCACGUUUAGGCUCCUAUGCAACCGUCGUAGCCCUAACCGAGAACUGCACAAA